GGAGAGAUGGCCGAGUCCGGUUGAAGGCGCUCGACUCGAAAUCGAGUAGCGGUUUGUAGCCGCUCGUGGGUUCGAAUCCCACUCUCUCCGCCA
Molecule: transfer RNA, 93 nt
Filed under: Bacillota bacterium
Lineage: Bacteria; Bacillati; Bacillota
Description: Firmicutes bacterium (anaerobic digester metagenome) tRNA-Ser
Rfam family: tRNA
About the family: Transfer RNA (tRNA) molecules are approximately 80 nucleotides in length. Their secondary structure includes four short double-helical elements and three loops (D, anti-codon, and T loops).
Source: RNAcentral